RNAcentral lists this unclassified non-coding RNA (352 nucleotides) under soil metagenome. Its description in RNAcentral is "partial contains 5.8S ribosomal RNA, internal transcribed spacer 2, and large subunit ribosomal RNA". The stretch from base 1 to 120 matches the Rfam family "5.8S ribosomal RNA", at positions 35 to 154 of the family's 154-position model. The record is from RNAcentral.
GAUGAAGAACGUAGCGAAAUGCGAUAAGUAGUGUGAAUUGCAGAAUUUAGUGAAUCAUCGAAUCUUUGAACGCACAUUGCGCCCGCCAGUAUUCUGGCGGGCAUGCCUGUUCGAGCGUCAUUACAACCCUCAGGCCCCCGGGCCUGGCGUUGGGGAUCGGCGGAGCCCCCCGUGGGCACACGCCGUCCCCCAAAUGCAGUGGCGGUCCCGCCGCAGCUUCCAUCGCGUAGUAGCUAACACCUCGCGACUGGAGAGCGGCGCGGCCACGCCGUAAAACACCCAACUCUUCUGAAGUUGACCUCGAAUCAGGUAGGAAUACCCGCUGAACUUAAGCAUAUCAAUAAGCGGAGGA